GCACCCUCGCCGUAAGCCCAAGGUUUCCUGCGCAACGUUCAUCGGCGCAGGGUGAGUCGGCCCCUAAGGCGAGGCAGAAAUGCGUAGUCGAUGGGAAACAGGUCAAUAUUCCUGUACCGCUCUAUGAUGCGAUGGGGGACGGAGAAGGUUAGCUCGGCCAUCUGUUGGAAUAGGUGGUUUAAGCGUGUAGUCGUGCCGCGUAGGCAAAUCCGCGUGGCUUAGAUGAGGCGUGAUGACGAGGAUCCUCGGAUCCGAAGUGAGUGAUACCCAGCUUCCAGGAAAAGCCUCUAAGCUUCAGUCAUAGAGUGACCGUACCGCAAACCGACACAGGUGGGCUGGUAGAGAAUACCAAGGCGCUUGAGAGAACUCAGGAGAAGGAACUCGGCAAAUUGAUACCGUAACUUCGGGAG
This 410-nucleotide ribosomal RNA is filed under the name uncultured bacterium. RNAcentral's name for it is "bacterial LSU rRNA". It matches the Rfam family "Bacterial large subunit ribosomal RNA", at positions 1328 to 1742 of the family's 2925-position model. The record is from RNAcentral.